This 495-nucleotide ribosomal RNA is filed under the name uncultured bacterium. RNAcentral describes it as "partial 16S ribosomal RNA". It matches the Rfam family "Bacterial small subunit ribosomal RNA", at positions 28 to 507 of the family's 1533-position model. The record is from RNAcentral.
GACGAACGCUGGCGGCGUGCCUAAUACAUGCAAGUAGAACGCUGAAGGAGGAGCUUGCUCUUCUGGAUGAGUUGCGAACGGGUGAGUAACGCGUAGGUAACCUGCCUGGUAGCGGGGGAUAACUAUUGGAAACGAUAGCUAAUACCGCAUAACAGUAGAUGUUGCAUGACAUUUGCUUAAAAUGUGCAAUUGCACCACUACCAGAUGGACCUGCGUUGUAUUAGCUAGUUGGUGGGGUAACGGCUCACCAAGGCGACGAUACAUAGCCGACCUGAGAGGGUGGACGGCCACACUGGGACUGAGACACGGCCCAGACUCCUACGGGAGGCAGCAGGAGGGAAUCUUCGGCAAUGGACGGAAGUCUGACCGAGCAACGCCGCGUGAGUGAAGAAGGUUUUCGGAUCGUAAAGCUCUGUUGUAAGAGAAGAACGAGUGUGAGAGUGGAAAGUUCACACUGUGACGGUAUCUUACCAGAAAGGGACGGCUAACUACGUG